Molecule: ribosomal RNA, 403 nt
Filed under: uncultured bacterium
Lineage: Bacteria
Description: partial 16S ribosomal RNA
Rfam family: Bacterial small subunit ribosomal RNA
Source: RNAcentral
GUCGAACGCUGGCGGCGUGCCUAAUACAUGCAAGUCGAACGCAGUGGGGCCGGGUGAGUAACACGUGGGUAACCUCCCAUCAGAGGGGAUAACACUUGGAAACAGGUGCUAAACCGAUACAGAUGGAUGGACCCGCGGUGCAUUAGCUAGUUGGUGAGGUAACGGCUGACCAAGUCAACGAUGCAUAGCCGGCCUGAGAGGGUGAUCGGUCACACUGGGACUGAGACACGGCCCAGACUCCUACGGGAGGCAGCAGUGGGGAAUCUUCGGCAAUGGGCGAAAGUCUGACCGAGCCACGCCGCGUGAGUGAAGAAGGUUUUCGGAUCGUAAAGCUCUGUUGGUAGAGAGGCGUUAUCUAACCAGAAAGCCACGGCUAACUACGUGCCAGCAGCCGCGGUAAUAC